AAAAAUCUAAUUCAUGUAACAGAAGUUGAGCAGAUAUUGCAUCAAAAUCUAGUUAGCUGAAUGUUCAUCAACUAAAGGAAGUCAUAAACUUCAAGAAUGAAAAGCUGGUAAAUGAGUCACUUUACAGCUUUUCUGGCACAAUGAAACCACAAACCACAUGUUUGAUACCAGAUUUUACCUUUCCAAUGGAUGCCAUUUGGGAUCGAACCCUGGACCUCAGUUUGCAGCUAUUCUAGACAGCACCAGCAAAUAAAAAUGGGGGUUUGCCUUUCCAAGGGAUAGCCCUUAAAUUUGCAAAACUAUUGACCGAAAGACAAAAAGCUUGCAUCUUCCUCCUGCAUAUUUUUUCAAUUUGACUCCUGAAACAUGGGAAACUUUUUAUCAGAAAGAAAG
Molecule: long non-coding RNA, 393 nt
Filed under: Elaeis guineensis (African oil palm)
Lineage: Eukaryota; Viridiplantae; Streptophyta; Magnoliopsida; Arecales; Arecaceae
Description: long non-coding RNA (EGUI_LNC071687)
Source: RNAcentral